AAUGAGGAAAAAAAGUUUUGUUGUUAUAUUAAUUCAAUUGAUGUAUAAUUUUGAAUGUACAAAUAAACCUACAAAUGACAAAAUGAUCAAUUAGCCCUGAUUUGUUUUUGUUAGAGAAAAUGAAGAGAUAUAUUACCUGGAUAUAAUACUUUGUUGAAUAAUGGGAGGAAGGAGUAAGAGAGACUUAUUGAGAAAUUCAAGCUUUGAUUUAUGGUUGAUGCUAAAAGCCUUCAAGUACACGGGUAUUUAUAGAUACUAUUACUACCACUACUACUACUACAACUACUAUUACUGUUGUUGCUACUACUGUUGCUAUUAUUACUGUUGCUAUUGUUAUUAUUGCUAGUACUGCUGCUACUACUACUACUACUGUUAUUACUACUACUGCUGCUGUUAUUACUACUACUACUACUGUUGAUGCUGUUACUACUGCUGCUACUGCUAUUACUG
RNAcentral lists this long non-coding RNA (450 nucleotides) under Carica papaya (papaya). RNAcentral's name for it is "long non-coding RNA (CPAP_LNC003871)". The record is from RNAcentral. Lineage: Eukaryota; Viridiplantae; Streptophyta; Magnoliopsida; Brassicales; Caricaceae.